RNAcentral lists this microRNA precursor (199 nucleotides) under Triticum aestivum (bread wheat). RNAcentral describes it as "MIR1435 microRNA precursor family". It matches the Rfam family "MIR1435 microRNA precursor family". Lineage: Eukaryota; Viridiplantae; Streptophyta; Magnoliopsida; Poales; Poaceae. The record is from Rfam by way of RNAcentral. RNAcentral also lists the same sequence under 1 other name.
ACCAUUUGUCCUAAGUCAAAGUUUUAUAAUUUUGACCAACUUUUUAGAAAAGAGUAGUAGUAUAUAUGACAUUAAAUUGGUAUAUUAUGAAAAUACAUUUCAAAAGGAAUCUAGUGAUACUAAUUUAGUGCCAUAAAUGCUGCUAUUUUUUCUAUAAAGUUGGUCAAAGUUUCAAAACUUUGACUUAGGACAAAAGCUA